Molecule: ribosomal RNA, 496 nt
Filed under: uncultured bacterium
Lineage: Bacteria
Description: partial 16S ribosomal RNA
Rfam family: Bacterial small subunit ribosomal RNA
Source: RNAcentral
AUGAACGCUGGCGGCGUGCCUAAUACAUGCACGUCGAGCGAACAGACGAGGAGCUUGCUCCUCUGACGUUAGCGGCGGACGGGUGAGUAACACGUGGAUAACCUACCUAUAAGACUGGGAUAACUUCGGGAAACCGGAGCUAAUACCGGAUAAUAUAUUGAACCGCAUGGUUCAAUAGUGAAAGACGGUUUUGCUGUCACUUAUAGAUGGAUCCGCGCCGCAUUAGCUAGUUGGUAAGGUAACGGCUUACCAAGGCAACGAUGCGUAGCCGACCUGAGAGGGUGAUCGGCCACACUGGAACUGAGACACGGUCCAGACUCCUACGGGAGGCAGCAGCAGGGAAUCUUCCGCAAUGGGCGAAAGCCUGACGGAGCAACGCCGCGUGAGUGAUGAAGGUCUUCGGAUCGUAAAACUCUGUUAUUAGGGAAGAACAAAUGUGUAAGUAACUAUGCACGUCUUGACGGUACCUAAUCAGAAAGCCACGGCUAACUACGUG